RNAcentral lists this long non-coding RNA (605 nucleotides) under Daucus carota (carrot). Its description in RNAcentral is "long non-coding RNA (DCAR_LNC006709)". Lineage: Eukaryota; Viridiplantae; Streptophyta; Magnoliopsida; Apiales; Apiaceae. The record is from RNAcentral.
UCAAACGACGAUGCAAAGCGAAUAAGAAAUAAUUCGAAGAGACGAAGUCGUACUACGAAUAGAGUAUAUCCAGAGAUGGUCUGGAGGUUAUGAUAUGCAUAGAUUGUGAGAUGAAAAGAUAAGAUUAAGCUCUGUGUGGAAUCGGAUUUAAGGCAAGUUUUCCUAAAUCCUUCCUCAUAUAUAUAUUGCAUGUUCUGAUUAUUCUGUCAAGAUUAUGAUAUUGUUUAUACUGAAACCCUUCUCAAAUAAACUCUUACUUCUGAGCAUGAAACCAUGAUUGUUUUCUUCUUCCAAGUUUUGAAAAGCUAAACACCUAAUUACUCUCAAUUUCUAUUCUGAUCCAUUCUUUCCAAUCCUCAAGAUAUUAAAAAUACCAGCUUUACAAAUUAAUUCGAAGUUCAGACCGUCAUUGAAGCAUGUGUUGCUCAGUGAUAGUCAGAAUCUAGAAUGAACUGGGAUCUUCUUGAUUAUUCAACCCGCCAUUGUCAUGCUGGUUUAGCAGGCUAAAUUCAGUUGUUUAGCCGAUAAUGGAGGAUACUGAAUAGUUAGGAAUUUCCUGAACUAUGAUUUAUCAAAAGACAGGCUGUGGUUUAUGAAAUGUUGAU